RNAcentral lists this ribosomal RNA (120 nucleotides) under Scophthalmus maximus (turbot). The record is from RNAcentral. Lineage: Eukaryota; Metazoa; Chordata; Actinopteri; Pleuronectiformes; Scophthalmidae.
UUUUACGGCCAAACCGCCUGGUUCACGCCCCGAUCUCGUUUGAUCUCGGAAGCUAAGAUAGGUUGGGCCUGGUUAGUACUUGGAUGGGAGACCGCCUGGGAAUACCAGGUGCUGUAAGCU